Molecule: ribosomal RNA, 496 nt
Filed under: uncultured bacterium
Lineage: Bacteria
Description: bacterial SSU rRNA
Rfam family: Bacterial small subunit ribosomal RNA
Source: RNAcentral
GAUGAACGCUAGCGGCAGGCUUAAUACAUGCAAGUCGAGGGGCAGCACGGUUAGCAAUAACUGGUGGCGACCGGCGCACGGGUGCGUAACACGUAUACAAUCUACCUUAAACAGGGGGAUAGCCUUUCGAAAAGAGAGAUUAAAUACCCCGUAAUAAAUUGAACGGCAUCGUUUGAUUUUGAAAGCUCCGGCGGUUUGAGAUGAGUAUGCGUCUGAUUAGCUAGCUGGUGAGGUAACGGCUCACCAAGGCGACGAUCAGUAGGGGAUCUGAGAGGACUAACCCCCCACACUGGUACUGAGACACGGACCAGACUCCUACGGGAGGCAGCAGUAAGGAAUAUUGGUCAAUGGAGGCAACUCUGAACCAGCCAUGCCGCGUGCAGGAUGACGGCCCUAUGGGUUGUAAACUGCUUUUAUACAAGAGAAAACCCUGGUACGUGUACCAGGUUGAUAGAUUGUAAGAAUAAGCAUCGGCUAACUUCGUGCCAGCAGCCGC